This 102-nucleotide Y RNA is filed under the name Microcebus murinus (gray mouse lemur). RNAcentral describes it as "Y RNA (ENSMICG00000043254.1)". It matches the Rfam family "Y RNA". Rfam says of the family: Y RNAs are components of the Ro ribonucleoprotein particle (Ro RNP), in association with Ro60 and La proteins. The Y RNAs and Ro60 and La proteins are well conserved, but the function of the Ro RNP is not known. The record is from Rfam by way of RNAcentral. Lineage: Eukaryota; Metazoa; Chordata; Mammalia; Primates; Cheirogaleidae.
GCCUGGUCUGAGUGAAGUGGUGUGCACAACUAAUUGAUCACAACCAGUUACAGAUUCCUUUGUUCCUUCUCCACUCCCACUGCUUCACUUGACUAGCCUUAA